This 1554-nucleotide ribosomal RNA is filed under the name Escherichia coli. RNAcentral describes it as "bacterial SSU rRNA". It matches the Rfam family "Bacterial small subunit ribosomal RNA". The record is from RNAcentral. Lineage: Bacteria; Pseudomonadati; Pseudomonadota; Gammaproteobacteria; Enterobacterales; Enterobacteriaceae.
AAAUUGAAGAGUUUGAUCAUGGCUCAGAUUGAACGCUGGCGGCAGGCCUAACACAUGCAAGUCGAACGGUAACAGGAAGCAGCUUGCUGCUUUGCUGACGAGUGGCGGACGGGUGAGUAAUGUCUGGGAAACUGCCUGAUGGAGGGGGAUAACUACUGGAAACGGUAGCUAAUACCGCAUAACGUCGCAAGACCAAAGAGGGGGACCUUAGGGCCUCUUGCCAUCGGAUGUGCCCAGAUGGGAUUAGCUAGUAGGUGGGGUAACGGCUCACCUAGGCGACGAUCCCUAGCUGGUCUGAGAGGAUGACCAGCCACACUGGAACUGAGACACGGUCCAGACUCCUACGGGAGGCAGCAGUGGGGAAUAUUGCACAAUGGGCGCAAGCCUGAUGCAGCCAUGCCGCGUGUAUGAAGAAGGCCUUCGGGUUGUAAAGUACUUUCAGCGGGGAGGAAGGGAGUAAAGUUAAUACCUUUGCUCAUUGACGUUACCCGCAGAAGAAGCACCGGCUAACUCCGUGCCAGCAGCCGCGGUAAUACGGAGGGUGCAAGCGUUAAUCGGAAUUACUGGGCGUAAAGCGCACGCAGGCGGUUUGUUAAGUCAGAUGUGAAAUCCCCGGGCUCAACCUGGGAACUGCAUCUGAUACUGGCAAGCUUGAGUCUCGUAGAGGGGGGUAGAAUUCCAGGUGUAGCGGUGAAAUGCGUAGAGAUCUGGAGGAAUACCGGUGGCGAAGGCGGCCCCCUGGACGAAGACUGACGCUCAGGUGCGAAAGCGUGGGGAGCAAACAGGAUUAGAUACCCUGGUAGUCCACGCCGUAAACGAUGUCGACUUGGAGGUUGUGCCCUUGAGGCGUGGCUUCCGGAGCUAACGCGUUAAGUCGACCGCCUGGGGAGUACGGCCGCAAGGUUAAAACUCAAAUGAAUUGACGGGGGCCCGCACAAGCGGUGGAGCAUGUGGUUUAAUUCGAUGCAACGCGAAGAACCUUACCUGGUCUUGACAUCCACAGAACUUUCCAGAGAUGGAUUGGUGCCUUCGGGAACUGUGAGACAGGUGCUGCAUGGCUGUCGUCAGCUCGUGUUGUGAAAUGUUGGGUUAAGUCCCGCAACGAGCGCAACCCUUAUCCUUUGUUGCCAGCGGUCCGGCCGGGAACUCAAAGGAGACUGCCAGUGAUAAACUGGAGGAAGGUGGGGAUGACGUCAAGUCAUCAUGGCCCUUACGACCAGGGCUACACACGUGCUACAAUGGCGCAUACAAAGAGAAGCGACCUCGCGAGAGCAAGCGGACCUCAUAAAGUGCGUCGUAGUCCGGAUUGGAGUCUGCAACUCGACUCCAUGAAGUCGGAAUCGCUAGUAAUCGUGGAUCAGAAUGCCACGGUGAAUACGUUCCCGGGCCUUGUACACACCGCCCGUCACACCAUGGGAGUGGGUUGCAAAAGAAGUAGGUAGCUUAACCUUCGGGAGGGCGCUUACCACUUUGUGAUUCAUGACUGGGGUGAAGUCGUAACAAGGUAACCGUAGGGGAACCUGCGGUUGGAUCACCUCCUUACCUUAAAGAAGC